RNAcentral lists this ribosomal RNA (561 nucleotides) under uncultured bacterium. Its description in RNAcentral is "bacterial SSU rRNA". It matches the Rfam family "Bacterial small subunit ribosomal RNA", at positions 338 to 916 of the family's 1533-position model. The record is from RNAcentral.
CCUACGGGAGGCAGCAGUGGGGAAUAUUGGACAAUGGGCGAAAGCCUGAUCCAGCAAUGCCGCGUGAGUGAUGAAGGCCUUCGGGUCGUAAAGCUCUUUUACCAGGGAUGAUAAUGACAGUACCUGGAGAAUAAGCUCCGGCUAACUCCGUGCCAGCAGCCGCGGUAAUACGGAGGGAGCUAGCGUUGUUCGGAAUUACUGGGCGUAAAGAGUACGUAGGCGGUUAUUCAAGUCAGAGGUGAAAGCCCGGGGCUCAACCCCGGAACUGCCUUUGAAACUAGAUAACUAGAGUCUUGGAGAGGUUAGUGGAAUUCCGAGUGUAGAGGUGAAAUUCGUAGAUAUUCGGAAGAACACCAGUGGCGAAGGCGACUAACUGGACAAGUACUGACGCUGAGGUACGAAAGCGUGGGGAGCAAACAGGAUUAGAUACCCUGGUAGUCCACGCCGUAAACCGAUGAUAACUAGUUGUUCGGUCACUUGGUGACUGAGUGACGCAGCUAACGCAUUAAGUUAUCCGCCUGGGGAUACGGUCGCAAGAUUAAAACUCAAAGGAAUUGACGG